CCCGGGGCAGAUCUGGGGGGUCUCAGGGCAGGUGUUGGGGCCCCUGGGGCAGAUCUAGGGGCCCCCGGGGCAGAUCCGGGGGGCCCCGUGUGGGGCCGCGCCGCGCCGGGGGGCCUCGUCUCACCCCAUCUCCCCCCCAGGGCCGGGGGCUGACGGCGUCGGGGGCCCCGAGAUGGACGACGGGGGGGCGCUGGGCCAGGCCCCCCCGGAGCUGCUCCGCGACGCCAGCGCCCCGGGGUUCCCACUGCCCGGCCCCGAGGAGCCCGGCAUCCCCCCGGCCCGGGGCGGCCGUGCAGGUUCCUCCCGCUCGCCGUCCCCGUCCCCGCCAUCCUCGCCGCGGGGCGGCCGCGCCGGAGCCGGAGCCGGAGCUGUGUCCGGAGCUGGAGCUGUGGCC
RNAcentral lists this long non-coding RNA (394 nucleotides) under Apteryx rowi (Okarito brown kiwi). RNAcentral's name for it is "lncRNA (ENSARWG00000009345.1)". Lineage: Eukaryota; Metazoa; Chordata; Aves; Apterygiformes; Apterygidae. The record is from RNAcentral.